Long non-coding RNA from Carica papaya (papaya), 483 nucleotides. RefSeq lists it as uncharacterized. Lineage: Eukaryota; Viridiplantae; Streptophyta; Magnoliopsida; Brassicales; Caricaceae. The record is from RefSeq and is a predicted model, not a curated record.
GUUAUUAACACAAACCUAGGUCUAAACAUCUUCACCGCAGUGGAGAAAGUUACCAUUUUCUGGCAUGGCAGGUCGAAAGUCAUCAGCUCUAAUCCCUGAGCGCUGGAAAUUGGUCACUGAAAGCCAGCCAGACGGGUCAAAACUUUCGUACUAUCUGUGUCCAGAAAGUGGACAACAAUUUAAUACAUAUGAAGAUCUAAUCCGUUAUGUCAACUAUGCUAAAGAGGCUGAGCUCUCCAUCUAUUCACCUGUGAGUUUGGACUUCAUUGUGUCCUGCAUGGUGUUUUUAGUUUAUCAAUUCCUCAUUUCGGCCCAAGUAUUAAGAGAUGGUAUUAGAACAUAAACAUUGUAUCUAAAUUAAAAACAGUUAUCGAAGUGCCAUGAUGAUUUAGUUCAUCAAGUCUAAGUUUAUGUAAAGAAUUACAUAAACAUUUAUUGAUCACAUCUUUGAAAUGGACUAAGAUGUUGUUCUUGUUCUUUUGA